This 505-nucleotide ribosomal RNA is filed under the name uncultured bacterium. RNAcentral describes it as "bacterial SSU rRNA". It matches the Rfam family "Bacterial small subunit ribosomal RNA", at positions 28 to 525 of the family's 1533-position model. The record is from RNAcentral.
GACGAACGCUGGCGGCGUGGAUUAGGCAUGCAAGUCGAACGGUAUCAUCCUUUCGGGGGUGAGAGAGUGGCGAACUGGUGAGUAACACGUAGGUUAUCUACCCUCAAGACGGGGACAACCCAGGGAAACUUGGGCUAAUACCGGAUGUGAGCAACUUUUAGUUGUUUGAAAGGUGGCGUAAGCUGUCGCUUGGGGAUGAGCCUGCGUCCUAUUAGUUAGUUGGUGAGGUAACGGCUCACCUAGGCAAUGAUAGGUAGGCGGCCUUAACGGGUGGUCGCCCACACUGGGAUUGAGAUACGGCCCAGACUCCUACGGGAGGCAGCAGUCGAGAAUAGUCUACAAUGGUCGGAAGACUGAUAGUGCGACGCCGCGUGAACGAUGAAUCCCUUCGGGGUGUAAAGUUCUUUUAUAUGUGAGCAGUGCUUCUUAUAUUAACAGUAUGGGGAGAGAGAUAUUAGCAUAUGAAUAAGCACGGCUAACUCCGUGCCAGCAGCCGCGGUAAACA